Molecule: ribosomal RNA, 274 nt
Filed under: uncultured bacterium
Lineage: Bacteria
Description: partial 16S ribosomal RNA
Rfam family: Bacterial small subunit ribosomal RNA
Source: RNAcentral
AUACAGAGAUGGCAACCGUUGUUCGGAAUUACUGGGCUUAAAGAGCACGUAGGCGGGAAUAUAAGUUGAUUGUGAAAUCCCAUGGCUUACCCAUGGAAUAGCAGUCAAAACUGUGUUUCUUGAGAGCGGAAGGGGAGAGUGGAACUCCUGGUGGAGCGGUGAAAUGCGUUGAUAUCAGGAGGAACGCCGGAGGCGAAAGCGACUCUCUGGUCCGCGACUGACGCUGAGGUGCGAAAGCUAGGGGAGCAAACGGGAUUAGAAACCCCAGUAGUCC